Molecule: long non-coding RNA, 126 nt
Organism: Myotis davidii
Lineage: Eukaryota; Metazoa; Chordata; Mammalia; Chiroptera; Vespertilionidae
Exons: 3
Source: RefSeq, a predicted model, not a curated record
AUAUGGUCAAUUUUCUAAUAACUAUAUAUGAUGUCAGAUGAGUAUGAGAUUUAUGGAGAUGAUCAUUUAGUAAGUUAUAUAAUGUCUAAUCACUAGGGUAUACACCUGAAACUAAUAUGAUAUUGU